GUUUAGUAUUUAGGGUUUAGGGUUUAGGGUUUGGAGUUUAGGGUUUAGAGUUUAGGGUUUAGGGUUUAGGGUUUAGGGUUUAGAGUUUAAGGUUUAGGGUUUAGGGUUUAGAGUUGAGAAAUGAGGUUUUGGGGAUAAGAUUUCAAAUUUUGAAAAAUAAAAAAAUUAAAAUUUUCAAAGGAUAAACUUAGAAAUAUGCUAUUUUGGUCAUUUUAGUUUUGGAGUGCUAUUUUUGUGAUAUAAACUUAGAAAUGUGCUAUUUUGGAGAUUUGCCCUAAAAAAAAACUAAUCUAUAUUUAAUUUUGAUUUCAGAGAUCAUCCAAAUUUAAAUCCUAUAUUGUAAAAAUUAAACCUAUACUAACUAGGGAUAACUGGUUUAAUAAUUAGAUUAUUUUCAUAAAUGAAAAUUAACUAUUUCCAAAAUUUUCAAAUCUAACAUUUUUUAUUAAGUAAAAAAAUAAUACUAUAAUUAAAUCUCCUAAAUAUUCUCUUUUUAUUUUAUUUUUAUCAUUUAUAAUUUUAAAUAAUUAUUUUUAAAUAUAAAAUCAAA
Molecule: long non-coding RNA, 550 nt
Filed under: Brassica napus (rape)
Lineage: Eukaryota; Viridiplantae; Streptophyta; Magnoliopsida; Brassicales; Brassicaceae
Description: long non-coding RNA (BNAP_LNC013011)
Source: RNAcentral